This 492-nucleotide ribosomal RNA is filed under the name uncultured bacterium. RNAcentral describes it as "partial 16S ribosomal RNA". It matches the Rfam family "Bacterial small subunit ribosomal RNA", at positions 29 to 507 of the family's 1533-position model. The record is from RNAcentral.
AGUGAACGCUGGCGGUAGGCCUCACACGUGCAAGUCGAACGGCAGCACAGUAAGAGCUUGCUCUUACGGGUGGCGAGUGGCGGACGGGUGAGGAAUACAUCGGAAUCUACUUUUUCGUGGGGGAUAACGUAGGGAAACUUACGCUAAUACCGCAUACGACCUACGGGUGAAAGCAGGGGAUCUUCGGACCUUGCGCGAUUGAAUGAGCCGAUGUCGGAUUAGCUAGUUGGCGGGGUAAAGGCCCACCAAGGCGACGAUCCGUAGCUGGUCUGAGAGGAUGAUCAGCCACACUGGAACUGAGACACGGUCCAGACUCCUACGGGAGGCAGCAGUGGGGAAUAUUGGACAAUGGGCGCAAGCCUGAUCCAGCCAUACCGCGUGGGUGAAGAAGGCCUUCGGGUUGUAAAGCCCUUUUGUUGGGAAAGAAAAGCAGCAGGUUAAUACCCCGCUGUUCUGACGGUACCCAAAGAAUAAGCACCGGCUAACUUCGUG